This 253-nucleotide ribosomal RNA is filed under the name uncultured bacterium. Its description in RNAcentral is "partial 16S ribosomal RNA". It matches the Rfam family "Bacterial small subunit ribosomal RNA", at positions 524 to 776 of the family's 1533-position model. The record is from RNAcentral.
UACGUAGUGUGCGAGCGUUAAUCGGAAUUACUGGGCGUAAAGCGUGCGCAGGCGGCUUCGCAAGUCAGGCGUGAAAUCCCCGGGCUUAACCUGGGAAUGGCGUCUGAAACUACGGAGCUGGAGUGUGGCAGAGGGAGGUAGAAUUCCACGUGUAGCGGUGAAAUGCGUAGAUAUGUGGAGGAAUACCGAUGGCGAAGGCAGCCUCCUGGGCCAACACUGACGCUCAUGCACGAAAGCGUGGGGAGCAAACAGG